RNAcentral lists this ribosomal RNA (468 nucleotides) under uncultured bacterium. RNAcentral describes it as "partial 16S ribosomal RNA". It matches the Rfam family "Bacterial small subunit ribosomal RNA", at positions 28 to 507 of the family's 1533-position model. The record is from RNAcentral.
GACGAACGCUGGCGGCGUGCUUAACACAUGCAAGUCGAACGGCAAGGCCCUGCUUUUGUGGGGUGCUCGAGUGGCGAACGGGUGAGUAACACGUGAGUAACCUGCCCUUGACUUUGGGAUAACUUCAGGAAACUCGGGCUAAUACCGGAUAGGAGCUCCUGCUGCAUGGUGGGGGUUGGAAAGUUUCGGCGGUUGGGGAUGGACUCGCGGCUUAUCAGCUUGUUGGUGGGGUAGUGGCUUACCAAGGCUUUGACGGGUAGCCGGCCUGAGAGGGUGACCAGCCACAUUGGGACUGAGAUACGGCCCAGACUCCUACGGGAGGCAGCAGUGGGGAAUAUUGCACAAUGGGCGGAAGCCUGAUGCAGCAACGCCGCGGGCGGGAUGACGGCCUUCGGGUUGUAAACCGCUUUCGCCUGUGACGAAGCGUGAGUGACGGUAAUGGGUAAAGAAGCACCGGCUAACUACGUG